AACGAACGCUGGCGGCAUGCCUAACACAUGCAAGUCGAACGAGACCUUCGGGUCUAGUGGCGCACGGGUGCGUAACGCGUGGGAACCUGCCCUUAGGUUCGGAAUAACUCCCCUAAAGGGGUGCUAAUACCGGGUAAUGUCUUCGGACCAAAGAUUUAUCGCCCUUGGAUGGGCCCGCGUUGUAUUAGCUUGUUGGUAGGGUAAAAGCCUACCAAGGCGACGAUCCAUAGCUGGUCUGAGAGGAUGAUCAGCCACACUGGGACUGAGACACGGCCCAGAAUAUUGCGGGAGGCAGGAGUGGGGAAUAUUGGCAAAUGGGGGAAAGGCUGAUCCAGCAAUGCCGGGUGAGUGAUGAAGGCCUUAGGGUUGUAAAGCUCUUUUACCCGGGACGAUAAUGACAGUACCGGGAGAAUAAGCUCCGGCUAACUCCGUG
This 433-nucleotide ribosomal RNA is filed under the name uncultured bacterium. RNAcentral describes it as "partial 16S ribosomal RNA". It matches the Rfam family "Bacterial small subunit ribosomal RNA", at positions 29 to 507 of the family's 1533-position model. The record is from RNAcentral.